RNAcentral lists this ribosomal RNA (282 nucleotides) under Triticum aestivum (bread wheat). Its description in RNAcentral is "partial small subunit ribosomal RNA". The record is from RNAcentral. Lineage: Eukaryota; Viridiplantae; Streptophyta; Magnoliopsida; Poales; Poaceae.
AAUGGCUUAAUCAUCUACUCUGACAAUCUGGAGGUCAUUGAGACCAUGCAGGACGGAGGACAGUCAACGGGAGCGGCGGCGGCAAUCUUCAAUGACUGCUAUCACUAUGCUUAUGAUUUUAUCAUGACUAAAUUCGAACAUUGUAAUAGAGAGGCAAAGAAAAUAGCACAUGAACUUGCUCGAUUAGUUAGAUUUUUUUCGAUUUCGGAUUGGUUUGAGGAGCCUAUUAGUGAAAUUGUAACGUUUCUCACAAACGAGGUAUUGGUUAUUGCUAAUGAAUAA